UCAGCGCAAUUGGCUAGCGCGUUCGGCUGUUAGCAAACUACCAGCAAAUGUGACCGGAAGGUUGGUGGUUCAAGCCCACCCGGGGGAG
Extremus antarcticus is the source of this 88-nucleotide non-coding RNA. The record is from the annotation of a GenBank genome assembly. NCBI's taxonomy places the organism in Eukaryota, Fungi, Ascomycota, Dothideomycetes, Mycosphaerellales, Extremaceae.